Vitis vinifera (wine grape) is the source of this 882-nucleotide long non-coding RNA. RefSeq annotates it as acyl-CoA-binding protein-like. The record is from RefSeq and is a predicted model, not a curated record. The transcript has 4 exons. Lineage: Eukaryota; Viridiplantae; Streptophyta; Magnoliopsida; Vitales; Vitaceae.
UUUUUUUUCAAAUUAUUUUUAAAAAUCAGUUUUAAAAAGUGUUUUUAAUUAUUUAAAAAAUAAAAUAUUGUUUAUAAACUUAUAAAUUUAUUUAUUUUUGGCAUUUUCCCACUCUAAUUCUAAAUAUCGACCUUAAAUCUUUUUAAAUGAAAAUUAAUCAAAAUAUUUUCCAUAUUUUUUAAUGUUUCUAAAAUAUAUAUGUUUUUUUUAAUCUAGAAACACUUUAAAUCUGUUUUAGAAAAUAAAUUAUUUUCAAAAUGGAGUGGAAACUGUUUUUUGGAAGCAAUUUCCAAACAAGCCUACGUCUCUGCUUUGCGUGAGACUAUAUAAUAAUGAGACACGCAAACUUUCUGACUUGCUCUGGGGUUGAAGCAGAUCGGAAUCGCUAUCCUCAAUCACCGCUACUCUAUCGAAAUGGGCUUGAAGGAAGAGUUUGAGGAGUAUGCUGAGAAAGCUAAGACCCUCCCUGAGAAUACAACAAACGAAAACAAACUCAUUCUCUAUGGGCUCUACAAACAAGCCACUGUUGGGAACGUGAACACCAGCCGUCCGGGGAUAUUCAACCUGAGGGAGCGAGCAAAGUGGGAUGCCUGGAAGGCUGUUGAAGGAAAAUCCACAGAGGAAGCCAUGAACGACUACAUCACCAAGGUAAAACAGUUGCUGGAGGAAGCUGCUGCUGCUGCUGCUUGAGGCCUUCAAACGCCUGGUUUUUCCUGGUUCCCUUGUGCUUGUUUGGCUUGUGGGAAAAAACCAUGUAGUAGCGAUAAUAAUCUCUCUCUCUCACCUUGGGUACUGUUAGUCUCUCUUUUCAGACCUCUAUGCUUCUGAAUCGCUGAAAUCCAUCUUAAUUUGAAAUUAUCACUAGUCUAUCUUUUUAUGUUA